GACGAACGCUGGCGGCGUGCUUAACACAUGCAAGUCGAACGGUAAGGCCCUUCGGGGUACACGAGUGGCGAACGGGUGAGUAACACGUGGGUGAUCUGCCCUGCACUUCGGAAUAAGCCUGGGAAACUGGGUCUAAUACCGGAUAGGACCACUGCCUGCAUGGGUGGUGGUGGAAAGCUGUUGCGGUGUGGGAUGGGCCCGCGGCCUAUCAGCUUGUUGGUGGGGUGAUGGCCUACCAAGGCGACGACGGGUAGCCGGCCUGAGAGGGUGACCGGCCACACUGGGACUGAGGUACGGCCCAGACUCCUACGGGAGGCAGCAGUGGGGAAUAUUGCACAAUGGGCGCAAGCCUGAUGCAGCGACGCCGCGUGAGGGAUGACGGCCUUCGGGUUGUAAACCUCUUUCAGCACCGACGAAGCGCAAGUGACGGUAGGUGCAGAAGAAGGACCGGCCAACUACGUGCCAGCCGCCGCCGUAA
RNAcentral lists this ribosomal RNA (478 nucleotides) under uncultured bacterium. Its description in RNAcentral is "partial 16S ribosomal RNA". It matches the Rfam family "Bacterial small subunit ribosomal RNA", at positions 28 to 523 of the family's 1533-position model. The record is from RNAcentral.